UGUUCGAGGGUCAUCACACCCCUCAAGCUCUGCUUGGUCUUGGGGAUUGCUAGUGGUAGCACCUCUUAAAUUCAGUGGCAGUGCAGUCACUCCAAAGCGUAGUAGAAUCUCUUCGUUUCGUGUAGUGUCUUGCGACGUGCCAAAAACCCUCCUCGAUGCACUUUGACCUCGGAUCAGGUAGGAAUACCCGCUGAACUUAA
RNAcentral lists this unclassified non-coding RNA (200 nucleotides) under soil metagenome. Its description in RNAcentral is "partial contains internal transcribed spacer 2 and large subunit ribosomal RNA". The record is from RNAcentral.